UACGGGGGGGGGAAGCGUUGUUCGGAAUUACUGGGCGUAAAGGGCUCGUAGGCGGCCAACUAAGUCAGACGUGAAAUCCCUCAGCUUAACUGGGGAACUGCGUCUGAUACUGGCAAGCUUGAGUGCAGGAGAGGAACGCGGAAUUCCAGGUGUAGCGGUGAAAUGCGUAGAGAUUGGGAAGAACACCAGUGGCGAAGGCGGCUAUCUGGACGGUUUCUGACACUAAGACGCGAAAGCGUGGGGAGCAAACAGG
Molecule: ribosomal RNA, 253 nt
Filed under: uncultured bacterium
Lineage: Bacteria
Description: partial 16S ribosomal RNA
Rfam family: Bacterial small subunit ribosomal RNA
Source: RNAcentral